Long non-coding RNA from Telopea speciosissima, 741 nucleotides. RefSeq lists it as uncharacterized. The record is from RefSeq and is a predicted model, not a curated record. Lineage: Eukaryota; Viridiplantae; Streptophyta; Magnoliopsida; Proteales; Proteaceae. The transcript has 2 exons.
UAAAUGGCUAGAAUCUGGUAAGAUCUUGGGCCAUCAUCCUUGACUUAAAAUGGAUGUGAUCUCUGUUUGGAAAUUGCUUGCCUUGUGUUCUCAGGUAGUUGUUGUGCGCGUGAUGUGCUCGUUCAAAUGCUCAAGUAGGUUUCUGUCAUUGAAGCAUGCGGAUUUGUUGCGAAUUUAUGGAUGGGGCUCGAUUGAGUUUCCAAAAGAGGCAUGCAAUCCCCUGUUUCAGCUCUUGGGGCUGGGGGCAGAGCACCCGAGGUGCACGCGUAGAGGCUUGGUGGGGAUUUUCGUUUUCGGUGUCAGCCCUUGUAGGACUUCUGGCGGCUGUGAGUCCUAUGGGUCUCAGGACCCUGCCACUCGUGGUUACUCAUUGGGGGUUAGAGUGAGUUGAAAUCAGUGUCAGUGACCCAAAGUCCCAUGCCUUUUCUUUUCGGAUGAAUCAGAAAUAUCCUACCCGUAUUUUAUUUGGUAUUCCAUUAAAUCAUGUUUGAUUCCUUAAUUGAUCUUGUUGGAUUUGCUUGCUUAAUGUAUGUAUUCCAUUUACCAUUUUCUAAGAUUACAUUCAGAGUGAAUUGAUCCGUAAAGAUCCCCAUAUUUGCAAAGUAAAUUCUUAUGCCACUUUAUGAGUUUAUACUCUUGUAAAUUUUAUCCCAAGUUUAUGUUCUUAGAAUUUAUUCAUUGAAUGGAGUAAGAUUUACUCAUUUUGAGUGAUUCCCAUGUGGCCUGAGGCCCUUGACUGAA